This 37947-nucleotide long non-coding RNA is filed under the name Brassica napus (rape). Its description in RNAcentral is "long non-coding RNA (BNAP_LNC003028)". Lineage: Eukaryota; Viridiplantae; Streptophyta; Magnoliopsida; Brassicales; Brassicaceae. The record is from RNAcentral.
CAACGCAUCCAUCUACCGCACGGUCGUUGAGUUGGAAGAAGAUGACGCCAUCAACCCAAUGGGCCCAUUCGGCGGAAAACAGAAAUGUAGGAGGGAGUUUCAGCAAGCACAGCACCUAAGAGCUUGCCAGCAAUGGCUCCACAAGAAAGGAAUGCAAGCCCGUCGUGGUCCCCGGGCCCUCGAGGAGGAGUUCGACUUCGAAGACGACAUGGUGAACUCUGAUUCCCGGAGACCGCCGCUACUCCAGCAGUGCUGCAACGAGCUUCACCAGGAAGAGCCAGACUGCGUCUGCCCAACCUUGAAACAAGCGUCCAAAGCGGUUAGACUCCAGAUCCAACAGGGACAGCCCCAAGUAGUGAGACGUAUCUACCAGACCGCUAAGCACUUGCCUAACAUUUGCCAAAUUCCGCAAGUUAGCAUUUGUCCCUUCAGGAAGACCAUGCCUUUCCAGCCUCCCACUACUAGAUUCCAAACGAAACACUCUGAAGUGUAUAUACGACGGUGAUGUUGAGUAAGUGUAACGACCCAGAUUUUUCUGGUGGGCCAGUUUGGCCUUUAUUAAAAAUUAAAGUCUAAUUCUCUCUUUUUACUUUGUUCCACAUUGGAUGUUUAGAAAACCUACCUCCCUUUCCUUCUCCUAUAUAAGAAACUCCAUCCUUUCUCUUUAUUCUCAUCAAGUCAAAUUAUUUCUUUGCGUGUGACGAGUUGUUGUUGAAUUAUUCGACGACCAGUCACUAGUGAAUUUUCCGGUGGGAUUUCCGGGUGAACUUCCGGCGAGAUUUCUGGACGAGCUUCCGGUGAGAUUUCUAGACGAGCUUCCGGUGGGUUUUCUAGUAAGUUUGUUGCCUCCUUAUUUCUAGUUAUAGGAAUAUUUUAAGAAAGUUUCUAAUUUAGGAAAUAAGUUAUAUUAGGAAAGUUUCUAUUUUAGGAAAGUUUCCAUUUUAGGAAAGUUGCUAUUUUAGGAAAGUUUCUAUUUUAGGAGAGGUUUCAUUUUAGGAAAGUUUCCAUUUUAGGAAACUUAUUUCCAGAGAAGCUGAGCUUAAGUCGUUGAUUCUCGUGUUGCAGUUGACCUCAGCUGACCGCAUCUUCCGUUGUUCAUUUCAGCCUGUGGCUAAGGUGAGGGCUAUCCCAUUAAAUCCCGAGCUAGUUUAGUACUACUAUUAUGGAAAGUUUAGUUUCGAAACAUGAUCCGUCUCUGUGAAUUGAGUCUGUUUGAGAGUCUUGUUUGUUUAUUAUUACUAUUGAUUGUUAAACCGGAAAUAGGAUAAUAGAGGAUUCAACGGUUGACUGAAUUGAAUGAAUUAAGAACUGUUAUUUAUAUAUGUAUAUACAUAAGUCUGUUAUGAGAUUGCGGGGCACAAAGAUGUUGUGCUAACGGCGCAUUGUGUGGAGAUUGCGGGACACAGAGACGUUUGUGUUAGCGGCGCAUUGUAUGGAGAUUGCGGGGCAUAUAGACGUCUAUGCUAGCGGCGCAUUGUAUGAGGGAUUGCGGGGUACAAAGACGUUUGUACUAGCGGCGCAUAGGUGAUUGCGGGGUACAAGGAUGGACUCUUGUACUAGCGGCGCAUAGAGUUAUAUAUUUAUAUCCGUAUAAGGAGAAUGCGGGGUGUGUGAUCUAGUUAUGCACUAUCAGCGCAUUUGAUGUUUUUAUGUGGUGUAUUAGACACUGUGUUUGUUUUAUGCUAGAACUAGGCCUACAUAGUCGUAGUGCUAUGUACUGAGUCAGUGGUUUGUGGUUUAGCAUCCCAUACCUCACGGAGUAACUCCCCUGUUACUCACCCCUCCUAUUCCUUUNNNNNNNNNNNNNNNNNNNNNNNNNNNNNNNNNNNNNNNNNNNNNNNNNNNNNNNNNNNNNNNNNNNNNNNNNNNNNNNNNNNNNNNNNNNNNNNNNNNNNNNNNNNNNNNNNNNNNNNNNNNNNNNNNNNNNNNNNNNNNNNNNNNNNNNNNNNNNNNNNNNNNNNNNNNNNNNNNNNNNNNNNNNNNNNNNNNNNNNNNNNNNNNNNNNNNNNNNNNNNNNNNNNNNNNNNNNNNNNNNNNNNNNNNNNNNNNNNNNNNNNNNNNNNNNNNNNNNNNNNNNNNNNNNNNNNNNNNNNNNNNNNNNNNNNNNNNNNNNNNNNNNNNNNNNNNNNNNNNNNNNNNNNNNNNNNNNNNNNNNNNNNNNNNNNNNNNNNNNNNNNNNNNNNNNNNNNNNNNNNNNNNNNNNNNNNNNNNNNNNNNNNNNNNNNNNNNNNNNNNNNNNNNNNNNNNNNNNNNNNNNNNNNNNNNNNNNNNNNNNNNNNNNNNNNNNNNNNNNNNNNNNNNNNNNNNNNNNNNNNNNNNNNNNNNNNNNNNNNNNNNNNNNNNNNNNNNNNNNNNNNNNNNNNNNNNNNNNNNNNNNNNNNNNNNNNNNNNNNNNNNNNNNNNNNNNNNNNNNNNNNNNNNNNNNNNNNNNNNNNNNNNNNNNNNNNNNNNNNNNNNNNNNNNNNNNNNNNNNNNNNNNNNNNNNNNNNNNNNNNNNNNNNNNNNNNNNNNNNNNNNNNNNNNNNNNNNNNNNNNNNNNNNNNNNNNNNNNNNNNNNNNNNNNNNNNNNNNNNNNNNNNNNNNNNNNNNNNNNNNNNNNNNNNNNNNNNNNNNNNNNNNNNNNNNNNNNNNNNNNNNNNNNNNNNNNNNNNNNNNNNNNNNNNNNNNNNNNNNNNNNNNNNNNNNNNNNNNNNNNNNNNNNNNNNNNNNNNNNNNNNNNNNNNNNNNNNNNNNNNNNNNNNNNNNNNNNNNNNNNNNNNNNNNNNNNNNNNNNNNNNNNNNNNNNNNNNNNNNNNNNNNNNNNNNNNNNNNNNNNNNNNNNNNNNNNNNAAAAAAAAAAGUUGUGCUUAAGAUCAGUAGCGGCUGAGUAUGAGAGAUUUCACCUUAUUUGAUAUGGGAGGACCACAUAGUUUGGAGUGUCUACAGCGAACAAGCGUCUUUAUAACAAAGUUAAGUCAUGCUGAAGACAUCUUAUUCCUUUUCUCGGCUCAGGAUUUGAAUUCGGGGACGAAUUCCUUCUUAGUGGGGAAGAAUUUGUAACGACCCAGAUUUUUCUGGUGGGCCAGUUUGGCCUUUAUUAAAAAUUAAAGUCUAAUUCUCUCUUUUUACUUUGUCCCACAUUGGAUGUUUAGAAAACCUACCUCCCUUCCCUUCUUCUAUAUAAGAAACUCCAUCCUUUCUCUUUAUUCUCAUCAAGUCAAAGUAUUUCUUUGCGUGUGACGAGUUGUUGUUGAAUUAUUCGACGACCAGUCACUAGUGAAUUUUCCGGUGGGAUUUCCGGGUGAGCUUCCGGCGAGAUUUCUGGACGAGCUUCCGGUGAGAUUUCUAGACGAGCUUCCGGCGGGUUUUCUAGUAAGUUUGUUGCCUCCUUAUUUCUAGUUAUAGGAAUAUUUUAAGAAAGUUUCUAAUUUAGGAAAUAAGUUAUAUUAGGAAAGUUUCUAUUUUAGGAAAGUUGCCAUUUUAGGAAAGUUGCUAUUUUAGGAAAGUUUCUAUUUUAGGAGAGGUUUCAUUUUAGGAAAGUUUCCAUUUUAGGAAACUUAUUUCCAGAGAAGCUGAGCUUAAGUCGUUGAUUCUCGUGUUGCAGUUGACCUCAGCUGACCGCAUCUUUCGUUGUUCAUUUCAGCCUGUGGCUAAGGUGAGGGCUAUCCCAUUAAAUCCCGAGCUAGUUUAGUACUACUAUUAUGGAAAGUUUAGUUUCGAAACAUGAUCCGUCUCUGUGAAUUGAGUCUGUUUGAGAGUCUUGUUUGUUUAUUAUUACUAUUGAUUGUUAAACCGGAAAUAGGAUAAUAGAGGAUUCAACGGUUGACUGAAUUGAAUGAAUUAAGAACUGUUAUUUAUAUAUGUAUAUACAUAAGUCUGUUAUGAGAUUGCGGGGCACAAAGAUGUUGUGCUAACGGCGCAUUGUGUGGAGAUUGCGGGACACAGAGACGUUUGUGUUAGCGGCGCAUUGUAUGGAGAUUGCGGGGCAUAUAGACGUCUAUGCUAGCGGCGCAUUGUAUGAGGGAUUGCGGGGUACAAAGACGUUUGUACUAGCGGCGCAUAGGUGAUUGCGGGGUACAAGGAUGGACUCUUGUACUAGCGGCGCAUAGAGUUAUAUAUUUAUAUCCGUAUAAGGAGAAUGCAGGGUGUGUGAUCUAGUUAUGCACUAUCAGCGCAUUUGAUGUUUUAUGUGGUGUAUUAGACACUGUGUUUGUUUCAUGCUAGAGCUAGGCCUACAUAGUCGUAGUGCUAUGUACUGAGUCAGUGGUUUGUGGUUUAGCAUCCCAUACCUCACGGAGUAACUCCCCUGUUACUCACCCCUCUUUCUUCCCCCUUUCAGGUGAGACCGACGAGCAGGAGUGAUUACUAUCGGAUUGGUGCUUUGGGAGUUUUAUCUCUUUAAGUUUCAGACUUGCGGUUUUUAUGAUUUUAUCGAUAUUUUCAGGUUUUAUUAUAUUAUCUGGAUUUACGACUUUGGAGUUGACUUUAGAGAAGUAAUAAAUGGAGAUUUCGGACUUUAUAUUUAUUUAUUUUAUUUUGGAAAAUACGGGUGUUACAGUAAGGUUGUUGAUGUAUGUUAACACUAGUCACUAGGCAGUCACCGUGUUUAUGCUAUAAUAAAAAUGUACUUUAAUAAGAUGUUUGAGGCUAUUGUAAUUAGACCUUAAUAAAAGAGAAGUUAGUCUUGUUUUUUUUACCAUUGCGGCUUUCUAAGAAGUGUGAAUGACGGAUAAGCAAGAAAAAAUAAUUAAGCUAUUCACAAUUAAACAGUAGUCUAUAAUGAACGUGAUAAACUAGUACUCAGAGAUAUAAUAUUUUGUCUAAUUAAGACUUCAAGAUCGAUAAAUAAAACCAUUUGAUUUCUAGCCAUCUGUCAUUCUGAGGCCAUCUCCACCGUGUAUUUUUUUCUUAAGUAAUUGGUUCAACGUACUUAAGCAUGCCGCCGCUGACUGCUAAUUACUGAUGCUGCCUUUCUUAUAAAUACAAGAACUGUUCUAUUUUUUUACUUUUUGAACGUUAAACUAUAUAUGCAAAAGAAAUGUUCUGACUUAGAGCAUGAUUAAUCCGUGUUCUUAAUUUGAAGUUCUUAAUACAUGAUUUGACAUUUUUUUACAAUUUUCAACUAAGAGUCGUCUCUUAAACAAUCUCCAAUGGUUAGAACCCAUCAUGAAUUCUAAUGUUUAAUUUAAUUAUAAAUUUUGUAAUUUGUGAAGUUUAGAACCUCUUGUAAUUUGUUAUGUUCAAUAGUAAAACCCUUUUAAAGUUCUUAAGAGAGAAAGAGACAACAACAAAAAAAAAAGCAAGGGAGAGAGAAAAAGACACAAACACAAAAGGAGUUAAUAAAAAAAUGAUACCUUAGAGGUUCUUGGAGGAAGUACUAAAGUAAUUAAGGGAAAAAAAUAAAUCAUAAAUGGUUAUAUUAGGCAGGAGCGCUCCUUGAUUAGGUGAUUUAAGGAAUGGUAAAGAUCCCAGACGUGGCAGGAGGGGAUUGGCUGGGUCAUUUUAGACGAAAGGUCUUGUGGUCGGUUGGUCUUUUUUUUUUUCAUCUUCAAUGUCAUCGAAAUCUCUUCCUCCUCUCUCUGUCGAAAUCUCCUUGAUGAUGUUUGAUCCGUUUGUUCGCCGGUGAUUAUGUCUUCCUUCCAUCAUCGGGUCUGCCUUCCUCGUCGAUUCUUUCGAAAUCUCCAACGGAGAAAACAUUUGAUUCGUUUCACCCACUUCGUCGAUGUUCUCCUCCAGACUCAUCCAUGCAAUCAGCACAAAGGUUCGGUUUCUUUUUUAUUUUUGUUUCUGUGAAUUGAAUCCCUUUGUCGAUUAUUAUCCAAAAUUUUGUUUGGAUUAUGAGAUUUGACUCUGUUUAUCUCAGAUCGAUGGGGGAAGUGGUGGUUUGAAGUCGCGAGGGACGGACUAUGAUGAUGAACAGAGUAUCUUCCGACAAUUGUGGUUACAGUUUUGGUGGUCGAAUCCGACAAAGGUCAUUCCUUUACUUUGUUUGAUUUGAUGAUUUAAAGUUUUCCUUCUUUGUCUUGAGUUAGAAGUUUGAGUAGACUUUGGUUUUGAUAUUGAUUAAAUCUGAUUAAAGCAGUAGCAGCAGCAGCUCAGAUGAUGAAUCCAGUGAAGUUAAGAAGAAGGAGAGUGGUGAAUCUGUUUCUGAAGUUGUUACUGUGAGUUCUGUGCCUACUCAACCUAUUCCAAUAGCUGGAGAUGCUCCUUUUAUGGAGUCUACUGCUAAUGUGAUUGUAGAGAGUAUCAGUUUGAUGGAUUCAACUACUCCUACUGAUCCAAAAACUGAGCUAAUGAUUGAAAUCACACCUGUUGAGGCAAUGAUCUCAACCGAGAAUGACGAGAGUUCUUUGCCUAAACCAAACGAGAUUAAGCAGGCGUCUUCAAGUGCAACCGACUCUGAUGUGAAAGAAAACGAGAGAAAAACUUGGACUCUUCCAGAAUCCAACAGUGUUCCUGAAGGCAACAGUGUUCAUGAGGAAGAGGUGAUCCUCAGUGUUGAACUAUUUAAUUUUGUUUAUAUUCUUCGUCACUUUGUUACCAAAUUAGACUAAACUCAAUAUUCUCUCAGGCUCCAUGCGGCCAACACAUGGAGUUUUGCAGAGAACGUCAUGGUUAAGUUGUUGUGGCUUGUUUGAUGUGGUCACAUGAUCCAGUAGAUAAACUCAGGUAUCUUCUGAAUAUAUUGUUGUUAGAAUAAACUCUCUGUUAUUAACGAACUUCAUUAGUCUACGUAUGAUUCUUAGUUUAUGGAUAAGAAAAUAACCUUUUACAUCGAACAAUUGUGUAUAUUAGUCUGUAGCUUUAUAUACAUCAAUACCAUUGUCAAAAACAUAACCAUCAUUAGUUACGCAUUCGACUUGUUGAUGAGUUUCUUGACACUCUUGUUUCAAUCGCAGAAACAGAGUUUUUCCUUCAUGAAUUCAGAAGUGUUAUCACAGCUAAGGAUUCUCGGUGUUACCUGUGAAAACUCAGUAAGUUGAUGAGUGUCUCUCUCUCUCUUUCUCUUCCAUUGAAGAACACAAAACACACAUUGUUUCAUAUGCGAGAGUUCUCAGCUUCUAGUAGUCUUCAAAGCAAGCUUGUCUAUAGUUUUUGCUCUUUAUAUUAGCCCCUUACGUGUUCUCUUCCCUUUCUCUCUGUACGAUUCCUUUGUCUGUUGUUGUUUUUGUUCAUAUGCAAAAAAUUUAUGUAUGCUUUUAUUUUAAAUCAUUCUACUUAAAAAAAAAAAUUUAAGAACCCUAUAGGAGUUUUUCCAUUGGAGGAGAAGGAGAAAAUUAUCUCCACUAACUAAUGUCCUAAACUUGCCAAAUCACAUUAUAUAUUCUUAAUUUAAUCAUUAGGACCUCUAAUGGGUCCUAAUGGAUGGAGAUGGUCUUACCAAUUCUAAAAUCUCUAUUUUAAGAACAUGGUUCUUAGUUUUUGUUUCUUUUGAUUUAUUUUUUUGGCUUUUUUUAAAAAGAAAUUCUCCUUAAAAACUUUCAUUGGAAGUGUUCUUAUAUUUUUUAUUUAAGAGAUGUUUCUUAACUUUUAUUAGUUAAAAGCUAAGAAAUUUCGGCUAAGAACCCUACCCUAAGAACCCGGAUUAAUCAUGACAUUAGAGCAUCUCCAACCAUUAGAAACUAGGUGAGAUUCAAAAAAAAUUAAAAAAAAAAUAUUUUAAUUGAAUAACUAAAUUUUCUAUUUUUUUUAAUUCUAAAAUGCUAGUUAGAAAACAUGUGGAAGUUAAAAGUUUAGAAGUGCUUCCAAGAGGACCUCCAACCAUUAGAAACUAGGUGGAAUUCUAAAAUAUAUUUAAUUAAAUUUUCUUUUUUUUUUAAUUCUAAAAUGCUUGUUAAAAGACACGUGGAAGUUUAAAGUUUAGAAGUGAUUCUAAAAACACUUGUUUUAGAACCUUUCUUCACUCUCUCUCCUAUUUUAUUUUUUUAUUUUUUAUUUUUAAUGAUAAGAUUCUAAUUAAAGAAUCUCCAAUAGAGGUGGUCUAAGAGCAUCCUUAUCGCACGUCUUUAGUGUGGGUUUUUAGGAAAAAGUGGGUGUGGGUGCAAUGAAACCAGAGAAAACGUCUCCAGAAAUCGCGAAAUAGGAGAUGUUUGUAGAACUGUUCGCGGGGCCCACUGACACAUGGUGGUCUGCGAUUGGUUUGAUUUAAAUUUUUUUUUAAAUCAGAAAAACAAAAUAAAAUAAAAUAAACAAAAUAAGAAACGUAUAUGCGAUAAAAGUGCUCUAAAAACCCUUUUUUAGAAUCUUUUUUCCCUCUCUCCUAUUUUUUUUUUUUUUUUUUAAUAGUGGGACUCUAACUAAAGAACCUCCAUUGAAGUUGGUCUUAUAAGUUAUAAGAGCAGCUGCAACGCUGGUCCUUACAAAAAAAUCCUUAGCAACAAAUUAUUUUUAUAAUAUGUGGGGACCAAACAAAUUAGGAAUCUGUGCCAUAAUUGUGUCUUGGAGUCCGUAGGUAAGGAUCAUUUCUUUGCUGGGCUUGUAACUGUGUGCGGGUCCCAUGGCCGGGUGGAAACCUGCGAUUGGUCUUUUUUUUUUUUUUUUUUUAACUGAAAAAAAAAUAAAAUAAUAUAAAAGAUUUACCUAGGUUACGGAGCCAUGAGUAACACGGUUGUGGAUGCCCUAAGGUAUAACUGGAUGAAUCAAAAAGUUGAAAGAAGUGAAGAACCUAUGACCAGAAAGAGAAACAAAAAAAAACAGUAGAUCAGAUGUCUCAUCUUCGGCUACUGAACCAGACACUGUUACUUUGGGGUUGAUUGGUAAGUGCUGUGAUUUCAUUUUUUGACUGUAGAAAUAUUGCUGUGGUUUUUAUUGCUUUGGCUUUAGAUUUUUAAUUUUUAAAAGUCUUUAAAUUUGGGCUGUAGGUUUUUGUCUCUGCAGAGAAAUUGUAAAGACAAAAAUUCAAAGAAGUGCUGUGGAUUUUAUAAAAUGGCUGUGAACUUUAAAAAAAAUAGAAAUCAAGAUUGGUGUAGAUUUAGUGCUCUAGAAAGAAAUGAGGCUGUAGAGAGAACUCACAGCCACUACCAAUCACACCCUUUAGUUAGGAUACCAUCAGCUGGUCUCAUAUAUUAUAAUCAGGCCCCUUUGUAAAACUCCCAUCAUUAAUUUAUAUUAAGUGACUGUAAAAAUGGUGAUUCAAAUAUUUAACAUUAACUUGAAUAAUUGACAUUGAUAUGUCAAUAUAUCUCAAUUGUAAAAUAAUAUAUGAAUAAUGUAAGUAUUUCUUAUUGCUAUACCAUAAAUAUGAUGUUAAUUGCCGGACAUGUCGGAAUAUGAGCUACAAGUCACACAUAGCAUGCAGACGCGGAAGAAUGCUGGUGUUGUGUUGUUUUUUUGGGGUCUAAAUGUUAAAAACUGCAGGUGUUGUUGAUCACUUGUCACUCACUUCAAACACCUAAGGCUUUCUCUCUCUCACACACACACAAACAAAUGAUUUGCCGUAAUUAAGAUCUAAUAUAUAGUUCGGUUGGCUCCUGAUAGUUUUUUAUUCUCAAAAUGAUUAAUCAAAAUGUAAUGAUUUGUCAAUAUAUAUGUAGUUACAAAUUAUAUAUAUAUAUAUAUAUAUAGAGAGAGAACCAUCUGAUGAUAUAUAGGAAAACACAAUUUCAUGUCAAACUUUAAAUAAAAUAGAUGUUUUAAUAAGGCAAAGCCUGAAUUAACUUUAAACAACCAAACUCCUAUAAAACUAACAUAUCCAAUUCUAUAAUGAGUGUACUCAGAUAUGGUCGGUGUCAGUAAUGAAAAAGAGGAACAUGAUGAAAUAUAAUAUCAUUACGAGGGGAAUGUUAUAUGAUUCUUAAUUCUACUAUUCUAUUGAAUUUUUAUAAUGAUGAUCAUUCUUAUACCGUUUUCACCAAAGCUUUAAUCUCCAGUAUUAAUAUCCAACACAACAUCAACUUGCAGGUGUUAUUCAUCACUUGUCAUUCCUCUACAUUCGAGUUUCCAACACCUAAUCCCGCCAACAACCUUGUACUCUCUCAAAUACAUGCAUGCAAUGUUACACGUGAUCUCCAUGCAUAACACCUCCCUUGUCCAUAAAUACCACACCCAUCCCUUCGCUUCAUAUUUAUUCACUCAAACCAAAACACAAGAAAACACACAUAAAUAGCAAAUGGCUAACAAGAUCUUCCUCGUGUGCGCAACUCUUGCCUUCUGCGUCCUCCUCACCAACGCUUCCAUCUACCGCACCGUAGUCGAAUUCGACGAAGAUGACACUACUGACCAAAUAGGCCCAUUCCGCCCACCACAGAAAUGCCAGAGGGAGUUUCAGCAAGAGCAACACCUAAGAGCUUGCCAGCAAUGGAUCCGCCAGCAACUUGCGGGAUCACCCUUCAGCGAAAACCAAUGGGGUCCUCAGCAGGGGCCGUCGCUACGCGAGCAAUGCUGCAACGAGCUUUACCAGGAAGACCAAGAGUGCGUUUGCCCUACUUUGAAACAAGCAGCCAAGUCAGUUAGGGUCCAGGGACAGCACGGACCAUUCCAGUCCACCCGCAUCUACCAGAUCGCUAAGAACUUGCCUAACGUUUGCAACAUGAAACAAAUUGGAACAUGUCCCUUCAUUGCCAUCCCUUUCUUUCCUCCUUACUAAAUCCUAGUGUUAUCACACGAUGAUCAUCAUUAAUGUGGGUUGUUGAUGUAUGUUUAACAACACACAGUCAUCGUGUGUUUUUACCAAAAAAAAUAAAAGUGUAAUAGUAGCUUGAGAGACUAAUGUAAUAAGCACUACUCGGUAAUAAAAGAGAAGUUUUACUUUUUGUUCAAGUGUAUCAGCAUAUGGUUUCGUAGCUAGUCUUGCACCAAAAAUAGUUACGAAACCAUUAAUAAUUAUCUUAUGGUUAGUAUACUUAACAAAGAUGAUAGUUUUAUCGAUCUAAUGCUGAUCUAUUGAAGAUUUCAGAACACUAAACAAGUUCUUUUCAACUCAAUUAUUCAUCCUGAUACAAGAUGAAAGUAGAUAAAAUAGACCCUUUAGGUUAAUACAAGCUAUAUACAAAUUUAGAAACAACACUUAGUUACAAACAUAAUCCAACGGCCUAUUGUUAACUUGACGUACGUGUGCCGUUCCAAUCUCACAAGGAUUCACUCUUGCUACGUAUCCGAGGGAGCACAGAGACUCACCAGUUGAGGAAGGUUCAGUUGUGAUGUUAACAAACAGUCGCCACUUAAGCAGGGCUCUAAUAACAGAGUUCGACCAAGUUUCAUUUCUACAUAAUAAUUCAAAAGGUUAUUUUUUUAACAGUUUUACCGUUUUCUUUUGGUUCAAAUACAAAGUUUUCUUCUUUACGAUUCUGUCUCAGAUACCCACAAUGUGCCCCUGAGCCGAGGUGGGCUCUUUCAUCCGUUGCGUAUCGAAAUCAGCUCCAAAAGUUCAAUCAGAAUCGUCAAGUUUAUGGCUUAAGCUUCAAUUUUGGUCGAAUUUUGAAGGGUCUUGUAAAAAUGCUGUGAUCUUUCCGCAAUUGUGAAACCGCUUUAGCCUCUGUUUAAGCCAUCACUUAGGGUGUUUUUUUCUUGAAGCAAGACGCAUUUUGGAAGGAUGGAAAUGGGUAAUCAAUCGAGGAGUCUCUUAGCUCUGUGGGUGAAUUUGCUUUCAAUGUUGUUAGUAAUAAUAACAUUGAAGGAGAGGAGAGCGGACUUUCUCUUUACCACACAGUUUAUGGCCCCAGAGCUACAGGCAACGUUCAAUGAGCAAAUGGGUAUGCUUAUUUCUGGGUUUGGAAUGCAAUCAUAAAGCUAUUUGCUUUGGUCUAUACUUUAUGUGGUCCGAGAUGUAUUGAUUCUUAUUUCAUCUCGAGCUUGUCACGUUCCUUGUUUUGUUCUGUUCUGUUUUGAUGUUAGGUAGAGGCAAUACUUAUCUAUUACUGGGGAUUUAGGGACUAUCUAACAUCAUCUGUCGGUUCUAAGCUUGAAUAUUGGUUCUUUGCAGAUUUAUAGGAGAGCUUAAUCAGUUUCUAAGACAAUCCCUUGUUGAUAUUUGCCUCUAACAACUCUUAGAAUGCGUGCACGCUCACUUGUAAGUAGUUCAUUUCUUGUCUUUUUCUUAGUAUGUGGGAUUGGUGUCAAAGAUGACUUUUGAAAUACGUCUGAACCACGUUUAAAGCAUAGAGUUAACCAAAUUAUAGUUAUUAUUUCUGAAAAGUGACAGCCAAAUUAUAAAGUUUCGAUGAACCUACCCGAAGUCUUGCUAGAAGUUUUAAAAUAAAACGGGGAAGAGUCUUCAAGUAAAGUUGUUGGAAACUUGAAAUGUCAACUCUUUGAUGACCAAAUCAAGGCAUCAACAUCAAAGUCUAGUUAUUUAUUUGUGAAGACCAUAUAAAGUCAGCAUACAAUUUGUGACCCUUUCUAUUUAAGAAGUCGUUGGUGCCUCAUAGUGGUUUAUCUUGAGGGUAUUUGAUCAGUGGUUCCUCACAUUUUCUUACUAUCAUUCCUUCUUAUUUUUUUAAAUCUCUCUGUGAAACUCUUUGUCAUGGAUUGUCUGGGCUCAGCUUUGGGUUCUUUCUUGGCAGAGGCAGGGCGUGGUAUAUGCAGAUCAACCUAUACUCGAGCCAUUUAUACCAUCCGGUUCAAGUCAAACAUCAAAGCUUUAAAUAAGGCGCUCAAUGGCCUGGUUGAUGUUCAAAACAAAGUGGAAAAAGACCUCAAAACCUUGGAGAUCAAAGGGAAGUCCUUGAAUGUGCAACUGAGGAGAUGGCUCAGAGAAGUGGAAGAGAUAGGCUCCGAAGCAAAUUCAAUUCAAGAAGGGCGUGCUUCAUGUGCUCUGUCCUUGAGAUGUAAGAUGAGUAAAAAACUUAUGGGAGUUCUUGAUAAAGUCAAGAAGCUUCAGACGCAAGGCUUAGAUCUUCUCGACAUAUUUUCUUUGGAAGGAAGAUCUGUACUAGUUGAGAGAAUCCUUGGACCCUCGAUCACUGAUCAAACAAUAGCAUCAGAGAUGUUAGUCAAAGUUCUAAGCUGUUUGAUGAGCGAUGAUGUUCAAAAGGUCGGUAUUUGGGGAAUAGGAGGUGUUGGUAAAACUACUUUAGUCCGAGAACUGAACAAUAAGCUAUGGAAAGAAGCUGAUACACAGCCUUUUGGUAUGGUGAUAUGGGUUACAGUCUCCAAAGAGUUUGAUUCGGGAAGGGUCCAGAAGCAAAUCGCUGAGAGAUUGGAUAUGGAAAUCAGAUUAGGCGAAAGCGAGGAAAGACUGGCCAGACGGAUAUAUGGAAAGCUUGAGAAAGUAAGUAGCUUUCUUCUCAUUCUUGAUGAUGUUUGGAAAUCCAUUGAUUUAGACAAGUUGGGGAUUCCACAAACAGAUGGACACAAGGAUAGAAAGAUUGUCUUGACUUCUAGAUAUUUAGAGGUUUGCCAGAGCAUUAAAACGGAUAUUGACUUCAGAGUGAAUUACUUAUGUGAAGAAGAAGCUUGGGAAAUGUUUUGUAAAAAUGCUGGAGAAGUUACUAGAUUAGAUCGUGUUAGACCCAUAGCAAAAGAGGUUUCUCGGGAAUGUGGUGGAUUGCCGUUGGCUAUCGUCACGGUUGGAAUGGCUAUGCGAGGGAAAAAGAAGGUCAACCUGUGGAAACAUGCCCUUGAAGAACUCAAGUGUUCGGUGCCUUAUGUCAAGAGUAUUGAAGAAAAGGUCUACCAGCCGUUGAAAUGGAGCUACAACUUGCUCGAGCCAAAGAUGAAAUCUUGCUUCCUCUUCUGUGCCUUAUUUCCAGAGGAUUACUCAAUCGAAGUAUCUGAGCUUGUGAGGUACUGGAUUGCCGAAGGGUUCAUUGAUGAAACACAAAACUAUAGCUACUUAAUGAAUCAAGGAAUCACCUUGGUGGAGAAUCUUAAAGACUCUUGCUUACUUGAAGAGGGUUCUCACGGUGACACAGUUAAGAUGCAUGAUGUGGUUCGCGAUUUUGCCAUAUGGGUCAUGUCUUCCUCGCAAGAUGAUAGUCACUCUCUUGUCAUGUCCGGUAUAGGUUUGUGCGAGUUUCCACAUGAGAAGUUCGUUCCUUCUAUCCGAAGAGUUUCUUUGAUGAACAAUAAGCUUAAAAGGCUCUCAAAUCAAGUGGUAGAGUGUGUUGAACUCUCAACUUUGCUGCUACAAGGAAACUUUCACUUGAAGGAAUUGCCUGAGGGGUUCUUGAUAUCUUUUCCAGCACUUCGAAUUUUGAAUCUAAGUGGGACAUGCAUAAGGUCGUUGCCCAACUCCCUCAACAAGCUUCAUGAGCUAAGAUCUCUCAUCUUGAGAGACUGCUACUACCUUGAAGAAGUUCCUUCCCUUGAAGGCCUUGCAAAAAUUCAAAUUCUGGAUCUUUGCGCCACUCGAAUAAGGGAAACUCCAAGAGGGUUGGAAACUUUGAACAGCUUGAGACUACUUGACCUCUCCCGAACGCAUCACCUCGAAAGCAUUCCAGCAGAAAUCAUCCCGAAGUUAUCAAAUUUAGAGGUUCUAGACAUGACCCUUAGUCAUUUCCACUGGGGCGUCCAAGGACAAACUCAAGAGGGGCAAGCAACACUUGAAGAGAUUGCGCGCCUCCAACGUUUGUCGGUCCUCUCAAUCAGAGUCGUAUGUGUUCCACCUCUCUCCCCUGAUUACAAUUCCUGGAUAGAAAGGUUAAAGAAAUUCCAGUUGUUUAUCGGUCCAACAGCAAACUCUUUACCUUCUAGACAUGACAAGCGGAGAGUGACUAUUAGUAGUCUCAAUGUUUCAGAAGCAUUCAUUGGAUGGUUGCUAGAGAAUACAACUUCUCUAGUGAUGAACCAUUGUUGGGGUCUCAAUGAGAUGCUGGAGAACUUGGUAAUCGAUAGCACGAGUAGCUUCAACCUGUUAAGAUCUCUAACGGUAGAGGGUUUUGGUGGAAGUAUAAGACCCGCUGGUGGAUGUGUCGCACAGCUGGAUCUUCUACCUAACCUUGAAGAACUUCAUCUGCGUCGUGUACUGGGAACCAUUAGAGAGCUCGUUGGUCAUCUGGGGUUGAGAUUUGAGACACUGAAACAUCUAGAAAUCAGCAGGUGUAGCCAGCUCAAAUGCCUUCUUUCAUUUGGGAACUUCAUCUGUUUCCUGCCGAACCUACAAGAGAUACACGUUAGUUUCUGUGAAAGGCUUCAGGAGCUGUUUGACUAUUUUCCAGGAGAAGUUCCAACCUCUGCUUCUGUGGUACCUGCUCUGCGUGUCAUAAAGCUAAGGAAUCUUCCGCGGUUGAGGAGAUUAUGUAGCCAAGAAGAGUCAUGGGGAUGUCUGGAACAUGUGGAAGUGAUAAGUUGCAAUCUUCUGAGGAAUCUACCCAUAAGUGCAAAUGACGCUCUUGGAGUCAAAGAAGUAAGAGGAGAAACACACUGGUGGAACAACUUAACUUGGGAUGAUAACACUACAAGAGAAACUCUUCAGCCACGUUUCAUAGCAGCGGACGGGAAUAUACCUACUGGCUCUCUUGGAAUGUCUUGCUAUCAGAGCUCCAACACAAUUGAAGAAGCUUUUCCAAUUUCUAGCUUACCAGAAUCUCAGGCUGAAGAGCUUCUGUAGCUACAAUGUAAUCAUGGACUUACAGAGGUGUGGAUAAUACUUGGCCCACUUGCAAAUAUCUUGUCACCGGGGCUCCAGCUCAAUCUAAUAGAGAGAGAAGAGGUUUCUCCACUUUAGAUAGAAGACCUAACGUCUGAGGAGCUUAUGAAGGGACACUGUAAUCCUCGAGUUGCAGAAAGUUUCAGGUUCAACAGGUGACCCUCACUUUGUCAAAAAGUUGUCAGGUUUGAGCAGUGAACCAUGUUAGCCACUGUAGUUUAACCUGCUCGCAUUUGCUAGGAGGCCUCAAAAGUGUCUGGUCUUCACAAAGGAGAAUAUUUAAGAUGUAGUAGUCCGUUUUCUUACACUUUCAUAAAUUUCCUUUGUCAAAAAGAUGCAGAAGGUUAUGGUAAACGUGGGUUUGCUGCUCUGGUCGACAUACUUUGCCGAAAAUCAAGAGCCACGAGAAGUCUCAAAGGCUUGAGUCAAGAGCUUUCUUGUGCCAGGGACAGGUCAGUAUUAAGCAACGUGCAGACCCAACAUUACGGUCCAGUUGGUGGAUUUAAUCAUCAUUUAUGCAGCUAUAUCGAGGUGGCAACUAACAAAGAUGUAAAUAUAUGUGUAACGGUUUUAUAAUUAGUGACAGGUUUGAAGGUGUUCUACCUCAAGAAUUCUUGGAUAAUUGUUUCUCUUGUCUUGUGUGUAUUUGAUUGUUUAUCACUCGAUUCCGUGCAAUGAAAGUAAACGUGAAAUUUUAUUUUCUGUAUAAGUUCUAUGAAAGUAUGUUUGUUACUGUAAACGUCAAAAGAAUGUCCAUUUUUUUGCAAAUAAAACGAAGAAACCUUGUCUUUUUCAUUAACCAAAAUAAUCUUGUAUACAGUAGUUGGGUCAGACUUCAUAGUUCAUCAGAUUUAAUAGUUUUUAGCUAUCAUAUACAUGUUUACUAAAAAAUACAUCAUGAGUUCAACAGAUAUUGGAGAACUAUGCCACAAAGAGGUAAAGAGUGCAAAGAUAUGUAGCUGUUGAACUUGAUAAACUAACCAAAAGUGGGCAACUACCAUAAAAUGUCAACUUAAUAAGUGUUACCUAUCAUGUAACCUUCUAAACAUGUCAUAACAUCAGUUAAAUCCGGUAAUGUACACGCUUGAGAUGUAAGCAACAAACUUCUUUUUUUUUUUUGGUAAAAUUGUAGAUAACAAACUUGUUAAUCUAGUAGCCACUCAUAUGGUAGAAUCAUGUAUUGUUGUACCCUCCUGUGAUAAUUUUACAUGCUUUACCCCAUGGAGGUUUGACGGGAUCUAAAGUGUGGCAGGAACAAUAUGGUAAAAGAAAUGAAUGAGGAAGGUUUCUAUUGCAGCUAAUAUGAACUUCCAUUAGUUCAUUGGCUCGCUUUGGCAGUAUGCAAUACAGCCUUCUAAAAUAAACAACAUGUUGGAACUACAAAAAGCUUUAUUUUUGACUUUUUGUUCAUCUCAAUACUUGAGCUUGUGGUCCAAGGUAGGAAACCUAAAACUGAUCGAAGCAUCAAUGGUUUGACGAAUAAUUUCAUCAAUACUAUAUUUGUACUCAAACCCCAAAUCUUUUAACUUCUUUGAAGAAAUCAUAGGCUUCAUCAAACUUUGUCUCUCUUCCAAAUCAUCAUCUAGCCUAUAAAUCAUAAAUAAUAAUUUUGUGAGAAGUUUUAUUCUAAACCAAAAGAACAGAGUCGAUAAAAGCAUUUGAAGAAUGCAAAAUUUAAAAAACUUACUUAUGAACUUUACAAAGAUAUUCCUUAGAGAAGUGAUUAAGCAUCAACUCAUGCAUAUCAAUGUUGUCAACACAACAUAUGUAUUGACCUUCAGCUUUUGGUUCUUCCAUCAGAAACAAAUGCGCCAUGCAAAUAUCUUCAAUGUGUACCAAACCAAUCGAACCCAUUCUUUUGUUCACUGCUGAUAGUAUCCCAAACAACUUGGACUCCCCUACAAAAAGUAAAUGGUUGAUACAAAAUCUCCAACAUUUUAACUUAUAUUUGAUAACACAAAAAUAUUAUAUACACACACAUACACACCUGUUAUUGGAGACAAGAGAACUUGAAGGCUUGAUGGGAGAGAAGGUGUACAAAAUGGACCCGAGACAGUAGUUGUAAUAACUGAAACAAGAUCCAUUCCACUCUCUUUUGCAUAUCUAAAUGCUUCUUCCUCUGAUACUAGUUUCGAUAGUACAUAAACCUAGUCGUCCACACGAAGUCUAAAGUUAUUUAAUAAGUGCCUAAAUGAACUGUUAUACUAUUGUAAUGCUAGCAUUUACCCAUCCACUUGCUUUUGUUUUAAGUACAUGAUCAAUGGGAGUCUUGCAAGUCUCAUCUACGAUUGAUCUCCACCGUUCAUUCUCAUCUUUGGCUGUGAGGGUACUGAUGGAUGACGUGAAGACAACUCUCUUUACUGAGUUUGACUUUAGACAAGAACCUAGUACGUUCCGUACGCCUUUUAUCGCCGGGUCAAUGACUUUGCUCUGGACAUAACUCUCUGAGAUUCAAAACCCGGUUCGUUUAGGUUAACCUACGUGUUAUUUGAUCUUGACUUGAGACUUUUGCAUCAUUUACUACAUUUUACAUUGACGUACGUUUCACCAAAUCAUGGUCAAGGCUUCAGGGGAUUAGUCAUAUUCAUAUAUAACAUUUUAGUAUUAGUACUUAAUUAACCGAAGAUUCUGGUUUAUAGCGGUUAAGGCAAUGUGAAAAGUUAAGAAAACGGUACGUGCAACGAGAAGGUUGUACCUAGAUUAACCCAUGAACAAAUAAAACUGUAAGAUCGGAUUACUAGAAAGUUCGAAACUAGGCACAUUCCAUUAUAUUCCCACAUAAUCAUUCUUUACAUUUUUACCAAAAAAAAAAUGUUUUAACAAUGGAACACGCCAUCACAGCCCUUAACGGCGUCAUCGAAGCUGCCGCCAUCUUGAAGAUCCGAUCGGAAUAUUCUAAGCCGUUCGUUUCCUCUCCACUUGGAUUGAAAAUAUUGAGAUUUUGCUGUCAGAGGAAGAAGCUAUUAGGUUAAAUGUGAUGACUUCAAAGCUAUUUUACAAAUCAGUCCAACUUUGAGUCUAAUUAACCAAUUCAUCCAUAAUUGUUCUAAAACGCUCUGUAAAGUAUCUAAGAUUUGAAGUUUCAAAAAAAUAAAGUAUCUAAGAUUUGAUAUAAUUAAAUUAACAAAUUAACACUUCAAAAAAUUAACAAAUAAUUUCAGAGCCAUGCAAAAACUUAUAUGAUACUAACCGAAUAGUUUCAAGAAAUUGAAAUUAGUUUCUGUUUUUCCGGAAACAAGAGAGUACCAAGAUCUCUGAGAGUGGCGUGAACUGUGUAGCCUCUUUCGAGAAGAGACUUAACCAACCAAGAACCGAUGUAUCCACUUGCACCCGUUACGCAAUACGUCGUCGCUUUUCCUUCCUCUCCGUUCAGCUCCAUUGUCUCUCUCGCUUUCCUCUCCAAAUGCCAAAGUGAGUUUAGAGAGUUAAUUAUUAAUUUUUGGCUUGUAACGAUACCACCACCGUCUUUUGUCUGUGCUAUUUUAAUAUUGCAUGUUUGUUUCUUUCUGGUUUGGUGUUAACUUUUUUGUAUUUUAUAACAAAAUUGUAUUUUCCAAAAUCUGACGUUCGGAAAACUACGAGACAACCCCAUUUUUAAUUUCUUUUUGGCAUUUUAUGACAUUUGGUAAGAUAAGAUUAUUGCAUCACUGGUGUUGUUAUCAUAGUGCAUUUUGAUAUAUAUGAAGAAGAGAAGGUAAAAAAAGAUAGAACAUACAUCACUGGAUAAGAUCGAAGAAGAGUGAAAUAUUAAAAACAGUUAGCUAGCUGUAGAAUAGAAAACAGCGACUUGUGCAGGUUUUUUAAUUUUUGGCCUUCGUGACUUUGUUGCUUCCAUUUAUCUGGACGCCGUAGAUUAUGUAGGCAUAACUGAAUAACACCAGUCAUGGAGCCUCAUUUCCAUCUAACUCUUGUGUCUUUCUUAGCGCUUUUGAAGAACUUCCACAUCAAAUAGGAAGGCUUCCAAGACAUUGUUGGAAUACUAAGAUGGGCUGGGCCACUGAUCCACACUUUACCCAUCAAUGGAAUAAUCAUCUCGCAUACAUCAUAAGCAAAGCAGUAUACAAUUAGUUCGACAAAAAAUCUCUAUGUAACACAUAUAGGCUAUAAUUAUAGUGCAAGAGUGAAAAAGGAGAUUUGAGAGAGAAAGGAAAAGCGAUAAGAAAACCCUAGUAGCCGCCAUCAACUUUGGCUUGGAGGAGGGGUGGAUUCCGGUGAUUCGUUGCCGUGAGAGUCUUCUCCUCCUCCUCUUCUUGUUAUUGUGUUGUAUGUAUCUCUGUUACCCACCUCUGUUUCUCUUCUUCACACGCCGUCGAGAUGCGAGCUACUCUUGAUUUCCAUGGAUUUUCUGGUGGAUUUACAACGGUGAGACAGUUUCUGUCACGUUGCUGGAGUAGCAGCGAGAUGCUGCAAGGAGUCGAGAAGGAGGGGCUUCAUAUGAGAGUAAUUUCGAUCUGGUAAUAUUGUGUCUUGUCAUCGGUUUAGCUUAUAUGUCAAUCGCUAUUUCCUGCGGUUUAGAUCUUCCUUGUUCCGGGGUGGGUUAGUUCUGUGGCUAGGGGCGAAUGGAGGCGUGUGGAGAGUGUCUCCUUCGUGUGGUGGUGUUGAACCGUUGGGUUUCAAAGGUUCAGAUGUGCUCUGAUGCUCCUCUCCAUCUUGGCUCCUCUCCCCUGUUUUGCCUACUUAUCUACUCAACGGAGAGGUUAUAUCCUCUGAAUCCUUUUUUACCUUAUAGAUUGGCUGUUUUAGUCUCUUCUUGGUGUCGGUACGGCAGUGGCGUUAAUGACGAAUCCGUGAGCAGAACAGGUUUAGCAUCCUUGUUGUGAAGAAGUUGGUUGGUGUCACCUCUCCAUUUCCAGUUGUGAAGGAGUCCUUGCUACAGCUUUUAAUAAGAGUUCGUCCCCUUCCUGGUUUGUUCGCUGAUCUCUGGUUUCCUCGGUGGCUUCUUCUUGGAUGAUUGAAGCAGUAAAAAGAGGUUGAGGUUUUGGUUCAAUCAGAUGAAGUUGCGGUUUUGUAGGGGGGUUGGUCCCGGGUGUUUUGGUUCUUAGACCCAUGGUUUGGGGUCGGUGUGUGUGUGGUGCUAUUCGGCGUGGUUCUGGCUUUUUAUCGUGGACAGGAGGUUCAGGUGAUUUCGGUUCUGUUAAGUCAUUUUUGCCACUUAUCAGCUUGGUUGACUGUGGUCUUGUGAAAGACUUCCAGUUAUUUUUGGCCUUGACUUUGCUAUCUAUGGGUUUGUUAAAGGAUUGUAGGAAGGUUUAGUUGUAAGAAUUUGUGUUUGUAUAAGUUAUAUUGUAGUCUGGUCUUUGGUGCCCUCGUAUGGGUUUUAGUGUCCUUUCUAUGGACUUUUGUUUCCGGGGAUAUCAACGUGUUCCGCCGGCUUUUGUAUUCCAUCCAGUGUUUAAUAUAAUCAAUUGACGGAAAAAAAAAACACAUAUAGGCUAUAUAGCUUAUUGGUUUCUGCGGAUGCGCCAGCCUACGUGAUUAAAAAAAAACUACAAAACAUGCAAUCUUUGGAUGCAAAGUGUGAAACCCCGCGUUUCUGCGGAUCAAUAAUUUACAACUCAUUUUCGUUAUCUUCUAGAUGAAUUUAUAUGUAUAGAUAUAAUAAUGUUUGUAUACGUAUCGUUAAUAUAUUGAAAUUCGCAUCUAACUAGCAUUAUACUGUGAUACAAGUAAUUGUUGAUAUAAUUCUUUUUUUUUUAUAAUUAACUAUUCUUGUCGACAUGAUGAAAUGGUGGGUAGUGUCUGGCAGAGGCGAAUUUAGAGAACAUAUUCAAUGGGCGCAUUAUUUGUAACAAAAUUUUACAAUGUAUGAAAAAGAUUUGAACUCGAGAUAUUAUGCUGCAUAGGCUGAGUUUUGCCAUCUGUUCUACCAAAAUUUUAAUGUUUUGUCUAUAAAAUUGUGAAUAUCAAUAUAGUUAUGGGUACACUUGCCAUCACUACUCAUAAGGUGGCUUCGCCCUGUCUGGUGAAUAAAAAAGAGAAAGUUGGGUAUUACAUAGACACAAACCGCUUCACACAUACAAAGAUGGUAUGGUAAGAACAAUAAGGUGAUCUUUGAUUUCUGCGUGAAAUGUUGUUAGCAUCUUUGAUUUCUGCGUGAUAAUUUUUUGGAAACUUUGAUUUCUGCUUGAUAAUAUAUUUUAUUUAUACUAAGUUCGAGUUAUGCUCCUAUAUUUUCUUCCAAUUAAUCAAAACCGUUAGUAAUGGUCAGAUAUGAAACACAUGACUAAGAAUGAUUUACACCAAAAACUAAGAAUAUGAUUUGAACUGCAUAGUUAUUUCCAUAAGAAUAUGACAAAUUUACAAGUAAAAUUACGAGUCGUACUUCAAACUAAUUUUCCAAAGCAUUUCUAAGUACGACAUUGAUGUGAAAUAAGCUGCGAAUAUAAAUAACAGUAGAUGUCUCAGCUAUUAUACAUAAGGCUUUAGAAUGUCUAAUUGUGUUAACCUCUUUGUGACCCAUCUUGUCAACUUUAUUUUAGACACAUGAAUUUUAUCCUAGCCUAAGGCAAUCAAGUUUAUGGCUACUUUUUCCUAAGUUUAUAAGUACUUAGUGGGAGAUAAAGUUAACUAAUCAUGGCUGACAGAAAAUAUCAAAUAUUUUGACUGUAAUGAAAUUAAGGCCCUAGAUGAAAUAUUGCAAAAGGUGAAACCGACACACUCAUUUUCUUGGUUAGUAGCAUGUGUUUUAUAUUUUAUGCCCAUCCAUUCUGUUGGCCGUGUUGUCUUAAAAGUAUUCUUAUUUACUUAUCAUAUGGUCUUAAUUUUAGUUAUUUUAAUAAAACAUUUAUCUAUAUAGUCUAUACAAAGAAAUUCUCAAGUCUGUGGGUCUCUUCUCUUACCAAAUGAAGCCAUGAAAAAAUAAACAUUUAUCACAUUAAUGAAAUAUUUGUAGUAUAUUUUAUAAACAUUGUUAUGAACAUAUAAAAUGAAGCCAUGAACAAAUAAAACUGUAAGAUCGGAUUACUAGAAAGUUCGAAACUAGGCACAUUCCAUUAUAUUCCCACAUAAUCAUUCUUUACAUUUUUACCAAAAAAAAAAUGUUUUAACAAUCAUUUGGCAUUAUCGAUAGUCAAGACGGACUGGUUUAUUUUGUAGAUUUGGAAUAAAAUACUGUCCAAGUCUUUAGUAUAGGAACGAGAGGACCGUACAGUGAUAUGCAACUGUGAACAAUUCAGUAUUUGCUUGACUUGACAGCUCUUUCAUGCCAAAAAACAUAUAUAUAAUUUCGGAAAAUAAUUAAAACAGGGAAAAACAAUGACUAGAUUAAACCCAAAUCUUAAACUACUAUACAUAUUUUUAAAAAUUAUAGAAAAUUAUCCACAUCUACUUUGGUCAAAAACUUCCGGAUAAUCCUAACUAAGCUAUCAUCGUAAUUAUAACUGUAUGAGAAUUAGCUCUCAAAAAAAAUUAUAACAGUAUGAGAAUGCAUUCAUUACUAUAACUCUUUAGGAGAAAAUUAGACUUCAAGAGAAAGAAAUCAAUAAUGGAGUAGUGAAAACAAACGAGAGAAGACAUGAACUUCAAAUUGUCAAUGCUUCUUUCAAUCUCAAGAGCUUUUGUCUUGUUUUAGUGGGCUACUUUAAUAGUUACCACUAAAAAUGUCAAAAGAUAAGGAUAAAACUGAACAUUUCAAUUAACUUUUUGAUCAAAUAAAUAUGGUAUCACCAUAAACAUUUCACUUUCUCCUCCACGAACGAUCUAUUUCAAAAUCAAUAAAUGAUUUCAUGAUAUGACAUCACAUCAAGUAAUAAUUUUAAAUAAAGUUACUUGUUUUCAAAAAGACUAAUUAAAGUUACUUGUUUCCGGAAAAUUUUUGAGACCAGAUUAAUGAAAUCGUAAAAGAAAAAAGACUGUUCACGUAGAUCAUUUUUAGUUUUCUUAGCAAAUUUAGACAAGUAACAAACUGUCAAUGUUGUCGAUGUCCACUGGUAAUAAAUACUAGUAAACUAUAAUGUUUUAUUAUUAUUGUAUGGUUAUAUGAAACAAAUAGAAGUCCAUUUUAUUUACUGGAUGUCCAAAACACUUAAAACAUGUUGAAAACGAAACUAUGUACCUUAGAGCUAUCCAUCCCGUUACAAAGUUCUGUAAAUAAAUCUUAAAAUCAAAAUAACAUAUUCAAAUGGAUUUAUUUUUGUUUAGAUACUCUAUAAAAGUUCAACAAUGAAGAUUUAAGUUAUGUGGAUAAAAAUGUCUAAUCAACCUAUUUUACUUAAAAUAAUGCCCCUCCAUUUUCCUUGUUACAAAGCACAAUUUCUAAUUUUAUUAACUAAUCUAUUAUUUUUUCUUUCAAGAUGUAUUUUUUUUAAUGGUUUGCAACUAAUCUAUUAUUUAAAUUCUUUAUCCUGAAGAAACGAAUAAUUGGUCAUCUAUGUAUAUGAAUCACAAAUAGUUUCUUUGAUAAAAAAUAUAAAUAGUAUGAUUAUCUGCGCAUAUUUUUCUAAGUUAAUAAGAGUAAUGAAAUCAAAGAAAAUGGAUUCUAUAAUCCUUUUUCAAGCUCGUUAUUUGUUUUUUUCUAUAAUCUUAAAGAGCUAAAGUGGUUUAGGAAAAGAAUCGACCAAGAUCAACUAAUAAAAAAAAUUGAGUUGCAAUGGAAUGGCUCCUUCAUUAAGUAAUGAUCUGUCUAUUUAUUUAUUUAUUUAUAAGAACAAUGCUUAAACUAAAGAAAGAUUAAAUGAUUAUUUUAUACACAAAUGCACAAAGAUCUACAAAUUCAUCAAAAGAUGAGAUAAUAUCUUAAAACACACUGCCUCCAUGACUCUUCUGGACUGUCAAAGCAUAACUUCAUGUGGUUUCUAAACCAUUAGUUCCCUAACCAAUCAACUUUCGUUAAUGUACCUUUGUUCAUCCACCGUCCCUUGGAAGUAUAUUUUAUUUUAAGUUAUAAAUUCUUCAUGAGUUUACAAUUACACUCUAUUUAACGUCUUCGUCAGACACGAUCAUCCUUUUGCGAUGCGUAUAUGGUGAAACAAACUAAACGGUUUUAAAUCUAUUAGAGCAUCUGUAUCGCAUAUACGUUUCUUUUUUUUUUUCUUAUUUUUUUUUAUUUUUUUUGAUUAAAAAAAAAUUUAAAAUUAAACCAAUCGCGAAUCGUUACGUGUCAGUGAGACAUGCGAACAAUUCAACAGACGUCUCUUAUUUCGCGAUUUCUAGAGACGUUUUUUCUUUGUUUCUGAUGUAAAAUGUUAUCAUUUUUUUCAAAAAGAACUUCCUCUCUCAUUUUAAUUAAAGACAUAACUUAUGAUCAUUUUAAUUGAAGACAUAAUUGACAUAAGUUUCUUUCCAUUACAUUAGUAUAGCAGAUAGCUUGUACUUUAACAACUUAACAUGACUGUAUCUUGAGAGCUAGUAUUGCAUAUGCUGCUCUACUUGUUUUAAUUUCGUAUAUAUAGACGCAGUAAAUUUGCGGUUGCUUGAAUUUUUUUUUGCUAAAAAGGUUUUAACCCUUUAAAAAAAAAGAUAACAAAAAAAAGAAUGUAGUUGAGGACUUAAACUUCGAGCAUAUCACACUAUAAUAGGCUCAUACUAAGUAAUUAAGUCAUCUUCAAGAUUCAACGAAAUAACAUACACUUUUGUAACAUUAUUCUUUGAAGUAGGGAGGAAGAAAGCUCUUUUUGAUAUUUUAUAAAAGCACUCUUUUAGAUUAAAGUUGAUAGAAAAAUGAGACAGGUAGAAAAAGAAAACCUCGGUGAUAAUAUCGGAAAGUCCAACGUCAAAGGUGUUAAUAUUAGACUGUGGGGAAACAUGUUGGGAUAUUACGUGUAACAGCCAAAAGAAAUUAUAAAAGUAAAGAUCAUUAAUCAUCUAGAUAACCGUACAAAAUGUUGAUAUGCAUAAUAUUAGCCAUUUAAACAAGGAGAGUAUUUAAGUCCAAGAGUUCGAAUCACUCAAGACAUGAACUUUGGUAUGGUGUAACCUUUGAAAUUAGUAAAAUUUCAGUAAAACAUUAAACAUGCAAAAAUAGGAGUUCGAAUCUAGUAUAGAACUGACUGAAUGUUAGGACAAUUUUAACCUAUCUCUGGUAUCUGGAAAUGGCGACUGAUCGUUAAGAUUCGUGGGUCUUUUGCAUUUAAACCAUAUUUAUAUCGCUUUUUGAAAAUGUCGUAAAGCUAAAACACGUUUAAUGUUUUGAAAAUUCAAUUUCCACCGAACACCAUUAUAUUGGGAGGCAAAUGAAAUAAAGUACGAAUUUUCGAGUCUUUGUGAUAGAUAUACACAUACUUUAUAGUCGAGCACGUACCAAAGUAUUUGACUCCUUGAUACAAAGACGAAACUAAGAUUGUUACGCUAAAUAAUAUAUAUGCACACUUGAGUUGGAAAUCAUAUUGGGGUUUAAAUGUCCAACCAGGUUGUGUUCUCUGCUCUGUAGCUGAUGAGUCUAUUAGCCAUUUAUUUUUUGAUUGUCCCUUUGCAGUUGCUACUUGAACUCGUUUUUGUGGCAGGUUUUUGGCGACUCCUCCGACUACACUUGAUGCGGUCGUGGUCCUUUGCCAGCACUUCCCUGGUCCUCAUGCCCAGCGAGCGGUUGCGGUGAUGAAGCUCCUAAAUCAAGUGAUCAUUUACAAUAUCUGGCGCGAGCGUAAUGCCAGGGUUUUUACCAGUGUGUCUUCAACUCAAGAAGCUGUGUUCCGAGUGGUGGAUCGUACUGUGCGAGAUAGACUACUGGUUCUUUCAAGACCCACUGUCUCUGUUCCUCUCCCAUCAUUGCUUGAGUUAUACUUUUGGUUCCUUUCCCCAUAUAGUUAAUGCUACUCUCAUUUUAUUGCUCUCUUAAUACUCUUUUCCUUGCAUUUUUUCCUUCUUUAUAAUAAGUUGUGUUUACACAACAUUGUAAACUUUUAAAAAUAGUAUAAAUCUUAAUAUUUAGACCAAAAAAAAUAUAUAUAUAUAUAUGCACACGUCUGCGUACGAGUUAAUUUGUUAGGUACCGAUUCUAAACCCUAUCCGAUUAUCAGCCAUUGGAUUUUUUUUUUCUUUUUCUUUUCCAUUUCAUGUACCACUAAAAUGAUAAUUUUUACGAUGGUUAUUAUUUUGCUUUUAAGCCGUUUUCCGUUAUUAAUACACAAGUGCUAACAAAGCAUGGUAUUGUGGGGAUUUUUUAAAAUUAGAUAUCUUAUAGCUUUAUCUAUUAAGAGACGAUAUUUUCUUUAUCACGAAUCAUCAGUUAUAUACCAUAAAGAUUUUAUUUGUAAUGUUGAGAAAUUAUUUUCCUUUUGCAGCUAUCUAGGAUGGGUGCCGAAGGCAGGGCGAGUGGACACUAAUAUCUUACGUAGACGUACGUUAUUCUUUGUAUACACUCAAGUAAUACGAUCGAUUGACUUCUUCUCUAGAAUAUAAUAGAACAUUCGGAAGCAAAAGAUUUACAAAAGCCGUUUCCGACGAAAAUCAAUAUAGUAAAAAAUGUUUGCUACUUUUUUUUUUUUUUGCCAUCUAUAUAUUAUUAAAUGGGCCAAGCCCAAAUACCAUACAGGAAAGCCCAAUCCCGAAAGACAAAAACAACGGGCCAAACAAAACAAAAUCACAACGGCCUGAGGCCCAAAACUAAGUCGGGCAAGCCGACAAAUACACGUCUACAACAACUAAUUGACCACGUGUCGAGACCCGCUCCACCGAGAGACACACGUCACCCGAGCAGUAAACCGCAAAUGACACCGAGAAGACGCCGCCGGAGAAGACGAAACCACCAGUAGUUUCGCCGGAACACGACGGAGGCCGACCAUCUCACCCAUCUUUUUCACCUGGACUCUUUCGAACGGAGAGCAACAUCGAGACUAUCCCGAGAACUCCUCCAGAGCCAACGAACCCAACUCUUCUUCCCUCACCACUUAAGACCCUUCAACGGUGAGUUUUUAAACCCGUAACCGAUCCACGCUUUAAAACAACAAUCAUCUACGAUCGAUCCAAGAAACAACCAAACAUGGAGUCUCAGAUCGAGAGUUGAUUGAGCGAAGAGAGAGCAAAAGCGAAGAUCCACAGACCGAAAAGCCGGAGAAGACGGUGCUUUUAGAGCCACCGAUUCCCGGAAUCUAAAGCCGACGAAACCGAUGCUAUCGAAGCCAUCGGUUCUCGGAAACUGAGCUGGCGACGUCGGUGUAUAGAAUCACCGGCUCCCAGAAUCGAUUUUGAUAAACUGGAACCGGAACCACAAGAAGCUCCGACCGAGAUCUCAUCUCCUCCUUCCUCUGUGUCGGAUCGUAGAGAGAGAACAUAGCUGAAGGAGAGAGAGAAGCGCGUUCACUGUUUGCUUAUUCGGACAAGCUUAUAAAAAAUGUUUGCUACUUACAUCUAACUGCAACAUUUAGAAUUUUUUUAAACCCCAAAAUAGAAUCUGAACACUAAACAAAAUUAAUUGCAUUUAAUUUAAUAAUGAUCUAUAUUAUCGUUGGUGUAGUUUAUUGUAAAGUUUCACGUUGGUUGUGUUUUAUCCAAAGAAAGAAACUGAAAUCUCCAAAAGAAAGACGUUCACACCCAACAAAAUUUUGAAAUAAAACUCAUUCGAUUUACAUGGAUAAUAAUGAGCAAAACAAUUUGAUCCCGCAAAAUAAAAUAAAAAUAUAUCGGUUCAAAAAAAACAACGUGAAGGCACCAAACUCGUACAACAGCAAUAGUUCCGUACACGUGUCAACCUAUCAAGUAUGUUAUCCAGCUGUCUGGUCCCCCUCUCGAAUGCUUCUCGCCGUGAUAACGUUCCGUCUCAAAACGUCGCCGUUUUGAGAGAUGGGUUUAAUAUUUGUUAGCUUAGGGUAUUAAAAAGGGUUAAAGUUGGUUUGCUGGCGAUUCGUGGGACAUCACGUACGACAUUACUGCGGAUUAACCGGAUAUUGCUGGUUUGAGAGAGCUGGUCAACCGAGUAAAACCCCCGUUAUAAAUCCGUGCCCCCAUCUCUCAUGCCUUGUUGUUAUGGAUGUAUACUUAUUUUAAUGUCAUGUAUACUUUUUUAUAUUCUAAUGUCUAGUCUGAUUGAGAUAGCUAGUUAAUGGAUUCAAUUACAUGUUUUGUACAUGAUUUCUGGGUGAUUUGAGGAUGUUUGUAUACUGGAUGACUGAUUUGAGUAUUUUAGUUGCGAAAAUAAAAUAUACUAGACUCAGUAUUGCAUCGAACCAUUUAAUUAUUAGUUAGUCACAUUAUUAUUGUAAUAUAAGUUCGUUAAUCCGCAUAAUCUUGCAUACCAAAUAUACAAUGCAAUUAUUGAUGGAUAUAAAAUCAAUAACGGCUGUAAAAGUAAACGGUGAUAUUUUUCCUUUGCUUUUACGAAAGUAAUACAUCUCCUUUUGCCAUAGAACCAUUAUUUUGUAAAGUGAUUUUCCUUUAUAGAACCAUUAUUUUGUUUGUAAAGUGAUUUUCUUAACGACAAUGCAAACAACGUACGUACCAAUGGUCUAUUACAAAAUUCUUACAAGUAUAUGCCAAUAUGUCAAAAUCUAUAUCUUUUCUUAACAUAAAGUCUAAAUCUUCACAACAGUUACAGUCGUACAUGUAAUUAUAAUUCUUCAUAAAAGUGUUUAUAUUACAUUUGUUUUUUCCAAAAAUAAAUAUCCAAAGUGCAAGUAAGUAUAUGAAUUGCAAGAGUACUAUAAAAGUUCUAAUUAUAUAGCGAUAGAUGUCCCAUGACAUGUUACAUCAAAUGACGAUUAUACCCUUCAUCUUCCUCAACGUCCAUUGCCUGCCUAGUUUCACCUUCCUUUCAUUCUCCUCCUCUAUAUAUAUCAACACUUCUCUUUCCUUCUUCCUCACACACUAAAAGCUCCUAACAAACAUAAGCUUAUCUCCUUCUCACCCAUCUCAAAAUUGUGCCAGCUUCUCUCUGAAACCAAACCAUGCCUGAGGCACCAAAGUAUGAAUCUUUAGAUGCUUUCGAUCUGACCCUCGACGAGAAGAACAAGAGGAAACUUCAGUUAAUCGAGGAACUGACCUCAAACGCCGACCAAGUCCAGAAACGUGUCUUGGAGGAGAUCUUGAUCCGUAAUGCUGACGUGGAGUAUCUCAGGCGUCAUGACCUCAACGGUCGCACAGACCGAGAGACGUUCAAGAACGUGAUGCCUGUUAUAACCUAUGAGGAUAUCCAGCCUGAGAUCAACAGGAUUGCUAACGGUGAUAAAUCUCCUAUCCUCUCUUCAAAGCCUAUCUCCGAGUUCCUCACCAGGUUCGUUAUUAACAUCCUCUCUUCUUCUUCUUCUUCUUCUUCUUCUUCUUCUUCAAAAUGCUCUGUUUUGCUCUGUUUUUGCUCUGUUUUGCUCUGUUUUACUCUGUUUUUCAAGAACCUAACGAAGCUUUCUAUAUGUUCUUUGACAGCUCUGGGACAUCUGGUGGGCAGAGGAAGCUAAUGCCGACAAUCGAAGAAGAACUAGACCGGAGAUCACUUCUCUACAGUUUCUUGAUGCCUGUGAUGAGCCAGUUCGUUCCUGGUCUCGACAAAGGCAAAGGAAUGUAUUUCUUGUUCAUCAAGUCUGAAUCCAAGACGCCAGGAGGCCUCCCUGCUCGUCCCGUCUUAACCAGUUACUACAAAUCUUCCCAUUUCAAAGAAAGACCCUUUGACCCUUACACCGACUACACAAGCCCCAACGAGACCAUCCUUUGCCCUGACUCUUACCAGAGCAUGUACUCUCAGAUGCUUUGUGGCUUAUGCCAACACCAGGAGGUUCUUCGUGUCGGUGCCGUUUUCGCCUCUGGUUUCAUCAGAGCUAUCAAGUUUCUUGAGAAGCACUGGAUCGAGCUGGUCCGUGACUUCAGAACCGGUACCUUAAGCUCCCUGAUCACUGAUCCUUCAGUGCGUGAGGCGGUCGCCAAGAUCCUUAAACCUAGUCCAAAACUCGCGGAUUUCGUGGAGUUCGAGUGUAAGAAGAAGUCUUGGCAAGGGAUCAUCACUAGGUUGUGGCCUAACACGAAGUAUGUGGAUGUGAUUGUGACAGGGACGAUGUCUCAGUACAUUCCAACUUUGGAUUACUACAGCAAUGGCUUGCCUCUUGUCUGCACAAUGUAUGCUUCUUCCGAAUGUUACUUUGGUGUGAACCUAAGGCCACUAUGCAAACCUAGCGAGGUCUCUUACACGCUCAUACCAACCAUGGCUUAUUUCGAGUUCUUGCCUGUUCAUAGAAACACAGGUGUUACUAACUCCAUCAAUCUACCUAAAGCACUCACGGAGAAAGAGCAACAAGAGCUUGUUGAUCUUGUUGAUGUUAAACUUGGUCAGGAGUACGAGCUUGUUGUCACCACUUAUGCCGGUAAGAAAAUAAAACAUAUUCUAUAAUAGCACAUAAUUAUUUUCAAAAAUAGUAUAAAAAUUAUAUUUAGAUUUUUGGGUUUAGUGAUUAUGGUUUACUAGUAUCGACUAGGUGGAGGUUAGGGUAAAAUUUAGAAUUCAGAGUAAUUUAGCUUUUCUUUUUUUGGCUAUUUUAGUGAUUUUUCUAUUGUAUGCUAUUUUUGACAUGGUAUAAAUUAUGAUAAGAGAUUUGCCCUAAGAAAAUAGAGAAUUUCUAUUAAUUUAUAACAAAAAAAAAAUACACUUUAAGGGUUUAGUCUUAUGUUUGUGUGCUUUGUGAUUUUGAUGCAGGGCUUUGUAGAUACAGAGUUGGUGAUUUGUUGAGAGUGACUGGAUUCAAGAACAAGGCACCUCAAUUUAGUUUCAUAUGCCGCAAGAAUGUGGUCUUAAGCAUAGAUUCCGACAAGACCGAUGAAGUUGAGCUUCAGAACGCGGUAAAGAACGCAAUGACACAUCUUGUCCCAUUUGAUGCCUCACUCUCUGAGUAUACUAGCUAUGCGGAUACAAGUUCUAUCCCUGGCCAUUACGUCCUGUUCUGGGAGCUAUGUUUGGAUGGAAACACACCGAUCCCUCCUUCUGUCUUUGAGGAUUGCUGCCUAGCCGUGGAAGAGUCGUUCAACUCUGUUUAUAGACAAGGAAGGGUUAGUGACAAGUCCAUAGGCCCACUCGAGAUCAAGAUUGUUGAGCCGGGGUUGCCUAGUUUCACCUUCCUUUCAUUCUCCUCCUCUAUAUAUAUCAACACUUCUCUUUCCUUCUUCCUCACACACUAAAAGCUCCUAACAAACAUAAGCUUAUCUCCUUCUCACCCAUCUCAAAAUUGUGCCAGCUUCUCUCUGAAACCAAACCAUGCCUGAGGCACCAAAGUAUGAAUCUUUAGAUGCUUUCGAUCUGACCCUCGACGAGAAGAACAAGAGGAAACUUCAGUUAAUCGAGGAACUGACCUCAAACGCCGACCAAGUCCAGAAACGUGUCUUGGAGGAGAUCUUGACCCGUAAUGCUGACGUGGAGUAUCUCAGGCGUCAUGACCUCAACGGUCGCACAGACCGAGAGACGUUCAAGAACGUGAUGCCUGUUAUAACCUAUGAGGAUAUCCAGCCUGAGAUCAACAGGAUUGCUAACGGUGAUAAAUCUCCUAUCCUCUCUUCAAAGCCUAUCUCCGAGUUCCUCACCAGGUUCGUUAUUAACAUCCUCUCUUCUUCUUCUUCUUCUUCUUCUUCUUCUUCUUCAAAAUGCUCUGUUUUGCUCUGUUUUUGCUCUGUUUUGCUCUGUUUUACUCUGUUUUUCAAGAACCUAACGAAGCUUUCUAUAUGUUCUUUGACAGCUCUGGGACAUCUGGUGGGCAGAGGAAGCUAAUGCCGACAAUCGAAGAAGAACUAGACCGGAGAUCACUUCUCUACAGUUUCUUGAUGCCUGUGAUGAGCCAGUUCGUUCCUGGUCUCGACAAAGGCAAAGGAAUGUAUUUCUUGUUCAUCAAGUCUGAAUCCAAGACGCCAGGAGGCCUCCCUGCUCGUCCCGUCUUAACCAGUUACUACAAAUCUUCCCAUUUCAAAGAAAGACCCUUUGACCCUUACACCGACUACACAAGCCCCAACGAGACCAUCCUUUGCCCUGACUCUUACCAGAGCAUGUACUCUCAGAUGCUUUGUGGCUUAUGCCAACACCAGGAGGUUCUUCGAGUCGGUGCCGUUUUCGCCUCUGGUUUCAUCAGAGCUAUCAAGUUUCUUGAGAAGCACUGGAUCGAGCUGGUCCGUGACAUCAGAACCGGUACCUUAAGCUCCCUGAUCACUGAUCCUUCAGUGCGUGAGGCGGUCGCCAAGAUCCUUAAACCUAGUCCAAAACUCGCGGAUUUCGUGGAGUUCGAGUGUAAGAAGAAGUCUUGGCAAGGGAUCAUCACUAGGUUGUGGCCUAACACGAAGUAUGUGGAUGUGAUUGUGACAGGGACGAUGUCUCAGUACAUUCCAACUUUGGAUUACUACAGCAAUGGCUUGCCUCUUGUCUGCACAAUGUAUGCUUCUUCCGAAUGUUACUUUGGUGUGAACCUAAGGCCACUAUGCAAACCUAGCGAGGUCUCUUACACGCUCAUACCAACCAUGGCUUAUUUCGAGUUCUUGCCUGUUCAUAGAAACACAGGUGUUACUAACUCCAUCAAUCUACCUAAAGCACUCACGGAGAAAGAGCAACAAGAGCUUGUUGAUCUUGUUGAUGUUAAACUUGGUCAGGAGUACGAGCUUGUUGUCACCACUUAUGCCGGUAAGAAAAUAAAACAUAUUCUAUAAUAGCACAUAAUUAUUUUCAAAAAUAGUAUAAAAAUUAUAUUUAGAUUUUUGGGUUUAGUGAUUAUGGUUUACUAGUAUCGACUAGGUGGAGGUUAGGGUAAAAUUUAGAAUUCAGAGUAAUUUAGCUUUUCUUUUUUUGGCUAUUUUAGUGAUUUUUCUAUUGUAUGCUAUUUUUGACAUGGUAUAAAUUAUGAUAAGAGAUUUGCCCUAAGAAAAUAGAGAAUUUCUAUUAAUUUAUAACAAAAAAAAAAUACACUUUAAGGGUUUAGUCUUAUGUUUGUGUGCUUUGUGAUUUUGAUGCAGGGCUUUGUAGAUACAGAGUUGGUGAUUUGUUGAGAGUGACUGGAUUCAAGAACAAGGCACCUCAAUUUAGUUUCAUAUGCCGCAAGAAUGUGGUCUUAAGCAUAGAUUCCGACAAGACCGAUGAAGUUGAGCUUCAGAACGCGGUAAAGAACGCAAUGACACAUCUUGUCCCAUUUGAUGCCUCACUCUCUGAGUAUACUAGCUAUGCGGAUACAAGUUCUAUCCCUGGCCAUUACGUCCUGUUCUGGGAGCUAUGUUUGGAUGGAAACACACCGAUCCCUCCUUCUGUCUUUGAGGAUUGCUGCCUAGCCGUGGAAGAGUCGUUCAACUCUGUUUAUAGACAAGGAAGGGUUAGUGACAAGUCCAUAGGCCCACUCGAGAUCAAGAUUGUUGAGCCGGGGACGUUUGAUAAGCUCAUGGAUUAUGCGAUCAGCUUGGGAGCAUCUAUUAAUCAGUAUAAGACGCCUAGAUGCGUGAAGUUUGCUCCAAUUAUUGAGCUGUUGAACUCAAGAGUUGUUGAUAGUUACUUCAGCCCCAAGUGUCCUAAAUGGGUCCCUGGUCAUAAACAGUGGGGAAGUAACUAAGUUGGAAUCAGGAAACGUGAAGAGAUAGUCUUUGAAGUAGAAGGUUUGGGACUUGCAAAGGAUAUCUCAUGUCUCUCUAAUCUUGAUCUUAGUUUAGUUUUUGGUUUUUUUGUUGGUAUUUUUUAUGCAUAGUCCCUUUGGUUUUGAAAACCAGUUGUACAAAAGCAAAUCAUGUUUCUCCAAGCAGCUCUCUGUCCUCUCUCCAUCACUUUCUUGAGCCUCUAAACUUUAUAUUUGAGUGAUUAAUUGGCUGGAUCCUUUACCGUUAACAACGGUAAAUAGCAAUGUGCUAAGUUAAUUUUGUUAAAAGAAGAAAAUCAAUCUCUGAUAACAACACUAUGACCACUGUUUGUGUUGGGUUUCUGUUAAAACAAAAGCAAAAUCAUGGAUGAAUUGAAAAAAAAAAUAGUUUGAGCACAAAGGAAAACUUCAAACUUUUCCUUGUAGAUAACUGAUGAUUGUUUAUUAAAUAUAGUUUGUUGUCACUAACCUAAUGAAACUACUUUUUAAUCUUGAGACAUAAUAUAGUCUUUUAUACAUAUGAGAGAUGAUACUACUUAAAAUCGUAAAAUAUGCCAUAAUUGAUAUUGUAUAACUUAGCUCUUUGAGCAUGAUCAGAAGGAACGUACGUAGACGCAUCCACAACUAAAUAACUUCCCAUAAUUUUCAUAUAUUUAUCAUCUUGAAAGCAGCAAUAAAUAUUAAAGAGAAGAUAGAUACAUUCAAGUCUAGAUACAAGUGUUCCCUAUGUAAGGAUCAAAGACAACAACACUGGCCUGGAAUUAAUGCUACGUUGGCAGGUCCUUUUUAGUGACAUAUAAACAACCCGUCAAUUCACAUAUGUUAUUUUUAUAAUUAAAAACUUUAAGUUGCAAAAGAUUUACAAAAGCCCUUCAUAGAGUCAACUACACGACCUUCAAACUGGAGUUGUUGCACGAAGACCCAACCAUCCCGAAGCUUUUUACCUUUUAUCUGAUAUUUGUUCACACACGUUCUGGUUGAACAAGUGCGAUGAUUGUAUGCUUACAUCUCCUUCGGUUACAAAUUAUUAGACUCGACACAGUAAUGUUGAGAUCCGAAGUUUGGACCCAAUUAAAUCAUCAUCCCUGUCAUCAAAUUUUAUCCUAAGAACCUCUUUGGAGGCAAAGCUAGAACUUGAGAUUCACCUAAUCUCUUUGGUAAGCCUUGUUAACAAGGUUAAAGCUGGUUGUGCUUGUUUCAGAUUCAUAUCAAGUCAGAUAGGACUUUGUACUCUCAAUGUUGCCUACGGUUCUGGAGCUCCUCACCUAAAGUUCUUGCCAGUCAAUAUUCCAACAUUUUCUUAUAGGUGUAUCAAUGUCGUUUUCGACUAUCAAUUGUUCUUUCGAACAAUCGUCAUGGGAACAAAAGUGGAGCUUUUCUUUGGGUUUCUUUAUUUCGCUGAGCUUGACUCGUUUUUAGAUGGUUCUAUUUUUAGUUGUUUUGUAAUGUUUUCUAGCUUCAUUCUACCGUCGAAAAUGUCUCCAGAAUUUUCUCGCUCAGUUGUAAGCUUUCAUGCUUUUUGAACUUUUUAAUACAAGUUUGGUGUUACAAAAAAGAAACUUUAAGUUGCAUACCAUUCUCUUUCUCUGUAAGCAUCCCUCAAAACUUUGUGUGCAUUUGUAUCCGAAACAAUAUUUUAUUAUUCGAUGCAAGUCGGUAUCUGUGGCCUGUGGCCUGUGGGAUCUGACUUCCUGUGUCGAGAGAAACAUUCUUUAAUCUACGUAAUGUGUAUUUGUUCCUUCUCCUUGUCGACUCGUGGAUGGGGAAAGAAAACUUGUUGGUUUUAAUAAUGGAUCAAAGUACAUAUUAUUAUACAUUUAUGUCAUGCUAGUGACUCCUCCAACAGUUAACACACCCUUUACAAUAAAAAGAAAACGAAUGACUUUUUACAGAUAGCGACCCAAAAUUCAAUUAUAUUGAAGUACAAGUGCAGUGUAUUAUGUCUUAUCAUAUUUAAGAUACUUAUCUAUGUAGAGACAAUAUUUACCGUUAAAUGUUUGCAAUAAUGAAAACCUGUACUUGAGUACUACUGAGCCACUGACUUUAAAGAUAAGGCUGUCUUGUCUCAUGCCCAGUCCAUUCUUCAGUGUGAUUGAUAAUUAGAAACAUAUAAAUCCUUGGAGACUAACUGUAGCUUUGUUGAUACUUUCCUUUUACUUUUACUAGUUUGAAAAGAUUCUGAAUUUACAUUUUAUCAUUUUUAAAGGUAAAUUAUGAACAUGAGAGGUAAGGAUUUUUCAAAAUCGCUUUAAUGAAUAUAAUCUUCCAAAUUUUCAUCAAGAUCUCUAUCCAUACAUCGUAUACUAAAAAUCUGAUUAUAUAACAAAUUACACUCGAGGAUGUUGUUAAAAGGACUUUUUACCGAACUUGUUAACUCUUGAUCAUAAUAAAAAUGUAUACUGUAGAAUCACAAGUUAAUAAGAAGUCCUUCUCUUAUUCAAUCAAAUCAAACUCACAAGAUCACAAGUCACAAAAGCUCAUAUGUUAUGUCACAAGCUUGACAUCUCCAUAUAUAUAAAAUAUAAAGUCCUAAACACACUCAAUAUAGGAUAACAAGAUAACUCCUAAUCAUCAUGGACUUUCCUAUUUUAUAUGUAGCUUUAUCUUCAAGCUAUUCCAAGCUUAUCCCAACAUUCUCCCCUUUAAGCUUUGAAUCAUUUUCUCCAACAUUUUGAACUCCAAUCAAACUUCUCAUCUCACCAAACUUAAGUCUUCCAAGAGACUUAGUUAAUAUAUCCGCUCGCUGUUCAUUCCCUGGCACAUGUUCAACUUCUAUCUGAUCAUUCUCAACACAUUCACGUAUGAAGUGGAACCUUCUAUGUAUAUGUUUUGAGCGGCCAUGAAAGACUGGAUUCUUAGUCAAUGCGAUCGCUGAUUUAUUGUCAACUCGGAUAGUUAUUUGAACAAUGCUUCGACCAACAACUUCACUUAGCAACUCUUGAAGCCACACGGCUUGUUUGGCUGCUUCUGUAGCGGCCAUAAACUCUGCUUCACAUGAUGAAAGUGCAACGAUCUCCUGCUUCUGUGAACACCAAGUUAUCGGACUGUCAUCUAGGUAAAAUACGUGACCAUGCGUACUUCUACCAUCAUCUUCGUCGACAUUAUGUGAGCUGUCGCUAUAGCCUGUUAUCUCACGCUUUAAUGAUCGAGAAUACACAAGACCGAGGGAGCAUGUUCCUUGUAAGUACCUAAGUACUUGCUUUAAAGCUGCUCCGUGUGAUUCCUUUGGUUCCUGCAUGUAUCUACUGAGAAUCCCAACACUAUAUGAAAGAUCCGGACGAGUGUGCAACAAGUAACGAAGACAACCUAUAGCUCUUCUGUAAUCGCGCUCGUUGAUGCCUUUUUCAUGUGUUGCCUUUGAAAGUUUUACAUUGACAUCCAUGGGAACAGACGUUGAGUUGCAAGAACUCAUUCCAGCUUCAUCGAGAAUCUUAGCAGCAUAUCUAUCUUGCCUCAACGAGAUUCCUGUCUUAUGCUGAUGAACUUCAAUGCCCAAGUAAUAGGUUAGCUUCCCUAGAUCGCUCAUCUCAAAUCUUUUUGACAUAUCCCUUUUAAACUCAAUAAUGUCUUGAUAUGACGAUCCCGUAACAAGUAAAUCAUCGACGUACACAACCACGAUCAGAACAUGCUGCUUCUUGUCCUUUCGAUAGAGAGAUGGUUCUUUAGAACAUCUUCUAAAACUAAGCUCUUGAAGUAUUCUAUUAAGCUUUACGUUCCAAGCACGAGGUGCUUGUCUUAAACCAUACAACGCCUUCUUGAGUUUAUAUACCUUUCUUUCCUUUCCCGUGAUCACAAAUCCUUCAGGCUGCGUGACGUAUACGUCUUCUUUUAACUCACCAUGGAGGAAUGCAGUUUUUACGUCGAGGUGAUGUAUCUCCCAACCAUUUGAGGCUGCUAUUGCUAUAACAAGUCGAAUGGUCUCAAUCCGAGCAACCGGCGCAAACACUUCGUCAUAAUCAACUCCGUGUCUUUGUACAUAGCCUUUUGCGACCAACCUCGCUU